AAAUUUGUUCUUUAACAUAACAUUUUCCUUGUUCAAGUAUAAGUGACACUCGAGUAGACAUGAAAGAUUCGAGACUUAUUACUUGCAAGUUAGCAUUUUACGGCUAAUGUAGUCUGCAACCAUUUACCUCCUAGUUUUAUGGUUGUCUAAUUAUAGCCCGCAGGCCUGUGGUGGUCCUUUGCUACUUCAACUGGAAUGUAGCUCCAGUGGAUUCUCCCCAUUAGGACCUCCCACUGAGUUAUUGAUUAUUAAGAGCCGCUCUUCAGUGCUGAUGCCCACCAUUACAGCUACAGCAGCAGCAACGACAAGAAAGCACUGGCAUCAAAAUAGGAGUAGCUGACCAAAACCAUCUCAACAGCAUACAAAAGAGGAAAGAGGCAACAAAGACUCCAGAAGUACCGUGGUCCAGAUGGCACACUUCGAGUCUAAAAAUUCAGUCACAAAUCUGCAG
RNAcentral lists this long non-coding RNA (451 nucleotides) under Macaca mulatta (Rhesus monkey). RNAcentral describes it as "lncRNA (ENSMMUG00000038185.2)". The record is from RNAcentral. Lineage: Eukaryota; Metazoa; Chordata; Mammalia; Primates; Cercopithecidae.